UUCUCGCUCGACUAUCGGGUUAGCGGUGUUUAUUUGCUUGGUUGAUAUCCGAUACGGUCCAGAUCCUCGAAUAUUCUUACGCCAUCUUAUCUACUAUGACGUAAAAUAAAUAAACUUAUGACUGAAGGAAAUGUAUAGACGUCUUCUCACGAAUUCAAAUCAGUAUAGUCUUGCGACACGAACAGAGUGCAUCGAAACGUGAAAAUCACAAAGAGCAUACUUGGCAGUCUUUUAUUAUUAUUUUGUAAUAUUCUAUGUCAUAGUACGUGUUAUAAGUGCAAUUUUCAAAAUAGUGAACAAGACUAACAAUACGUCGCAUUUUUAUUUUCUCCGUUGAAUAUUUACCCCAAAAUGUCAAGACGUUUGAGGAGUGCGAAUGUAUUAUUAGAGAGAAUAAAUGAUAUCGAUGCAGAAUGUUCUGACGAUGAUCAGGAAAUUCUGGAUAUGGAAAACGACAA
Megalopta genalis is the source of this 458-nucleotide non-coding RNA. NCBI's taxonomy places the organism in Eukaryota, Metazoa, Arthropoda, Insecta, Hymenoptera, Halictidae. The record is from RefSeq and is a predicted model, not a curated record.